RNAcentral lists this ribosomal RNA (425 nucleotides) under uncultured bacterium. RNAcentral's name for it is "bacterial SSU rRNA". It matches the Rfam family "Bacterial small subunit ribosomal RNA", at positions 29 to 497 of the family's 1533-position model. The record is from RNAcentral.
AAUGAACGCUGGCGGCAUGCCUAACACAUGCAAGUCGAACGAGACCUUCGGGUCUAGUGGCGCACGGGUGCGUAACGCGUGGGAAUCUACCCUUGGGUUCGGAAUAACAGUGGGAAACUACUGCUAAUACCGGAUAAUGACGUAAGUCCAAAGAUUUAUCGCCCAAGGAUGAGCCCGCGUAGGAUUAGCUAGUUGGUGAGGUAAAAGCUCACCAAGGCGACGAUCCUUAGCUGGCUGAGAGGAUGAUCAGCCACACUGGGACUGAGACACGGCCCAGACUCCUACGGGAGGCAGCAGUGGGGAAGUAUUGGACAAUGGGCGGAAAGCCUGAUCCAGCAAUGCCGCGUGAGUGAUGAAGGCCUUAGGGUUGUAAAGCUCUUUUACCCGGGUAUGAUAAUGACAGUACCGGGAGAAUAAGCUCCCGG